This 504-nucleotide ribosomal RNA is filed under the name uncultured bacterium. Its description in RNAcentral is "partial 16S ribosomal RNA". It matches the Rfam family "Bacterial small subunit ribosomal RNA", at positions 29 to 523 of the family's 1533-position model. The record is from RNAcentral.
AUUGAACGCUGGCGGCAUGCCUUACACAUGCAAGUCGAACGGCAGCAUAGAGAGCUUGCUCUCUGAUGGCGAGUGGCGAACGGGUGAGUAAAGCAUCGGAACGUACCGUGUAGUGGGGGAUAACGUAGCGAAAGUUACGCUAAUACCGCAUACGUACUGAGGUAGAAAGCAGGGGAUCGUAAGACCUUGCGCUAUACGAGCGGCCGAUGUCAGAUUAGCUAGUUGGUAGGGUAAAGGCCUACCAAGGCGACGAUCUGUAGCGGGUCUGAGAGGAUGAUCCGACACACGGGGACGGAGGCACGGCCCAGACUCCGACGGGAGGCAGCAGUGGGGAAUUUUGGACAAUGGGGGCAACCCUGAUCCAGCCAUGCCGCGUGAGUGAAGAAGGCCUUCGGGUUGUAAAGCUCUUUCGGCCGGGAAGAAAUCGCACAGGCUAAUACCCUGUGUGGAUGACGGUACCGGCAUAAGAAGCACCGGCUAACUACGUGCCAGCCGCCGCCGUAA